UUAACCCAGUGGUUAGAGUAUUGCUUUCAUACGGCAAGAGUCAUUGGUUCAAAUCCAAU
This 59-nucleotide transfer RNA is filed under the name Ranzania japonica. RNAcentral describes it as "tRNA-Thr". It matches the Rfam family "tRNA", at positions 8 to 63 of the family's 71-position model. Rfam says of the family: Transfer RNA (tRNA) molecules are approximately 80 nucleotides in length. Their secondary structure includes four short double-helical elements and three loops (D, anti-codon, and T loops). Further hydrogen bonds mediate the characteristic L-shaped molecular structure. tRNAs have two regions of fundamental functional importance: the anti-codon, which is responsible for specific mRNA codon recognition, and the 3' end, to which the tRNAs corresponding amino acid is attached (by aminoacyl-tRNA synthetases). tRNAs cope with the degeneracy of the genetic code in two manners: having more than one tRNA (with a specific anti-codon) for a particular amino acid; and 'wobble' base-pairing, i.e. permitting non-standard base-pairing at the 3rd anti-codon position. Lineage: Eukaryota; Viridiplantae; Streptophyta; Magnoliopsida; Ranunculales; Berberidaceae. The record is from RNAcentral.